UACAGAGGUCUCAAGCGUUGUUCGGAUUCAUUGGGCGUAAAGGGUGUGUAGGUGGCGCGCUAAGUCGGGUGUGAAAUUUCGGAGCUUAACUCCGAAACUGCAUUCGAUACUGGCGUGCUUGAGGACUGGGGAGGAGACUGGAAUUCAUGGUGUAGCAGUGAAAUGCGUAGAGAUCAUGAGGAAGACCAGUGGCGAAGGCGGGUCUCUGGACAGUUCCUGACACUGAGACACGAAGGCCAGGGGAGCAAACGGG
RNAcentral lists this ribosomal RNA (253 nucleotides) under uncultured bacterium. RNAcentral describes it as "partial 16S ribosomal RNA". It matches the Rfam family "Bacterial small subunit ribosomal RNA", at positions 524 to 776 of the family's 1533-position model. The record is from RNAcentral.